Molecule: Y RNA, 102 nt
Filed under: Prolemur simus (greater bamboo lemur)
Lineage: Eukaryota; Metazoa; Chordata; Mammalia; Primates; Lemuridae
Description: Y RNA (ENSPSMG00000000555.1)
Rfam family: Y RNA
About the family: Y RNAs are components of the Ro ribonucleoprotein particle (Ro RNP), in association with Ro60 and La proteins. The Y RNAs and Ro60 and La proteins are well conserved, but the function of the Ro RNP is not known. In humans the RNA component can be one of four small RNAs -- hY1, hY3, hY4 and hY5.
Source: Rfam by way of RNAcentral
GGCUGGUUCCAGUGCAGUGGUAUUUACGACUAAUUGAUCAUAACUGGUUACAGAUUCCUUUGUUCUUUCUCCACUCCCAUUGCUUCACUUGACUAUCCUUAA